AUUUUGUAUUGACAAUGUCGAAAAAACCAGAUGAUUUUGGAUUUAUGUCAUUUAAAUUUAAAGUAUUCGUUUAAUAUAACUGAUUCCAUAGUGUUUUUUUACGAGAUUUUAUACAUGAAUUAAAUUAGAUGUCACUGCAGUAGACCAUGAACAGCAAAGAUAAUUCACCGAUUGGAUCCUUUACUUUACUACCAAAAUCAUUUCCAGUGAUUAGGUAGAUUUCCACAUCGAUGGCUUCGUUAAUAGGCAAUUUGGGGCUUAGAAAAUCCACGAAUGAUUCGUCAGACAGCAAAGCAUUCACUGUAUGGUAUGCAGUUUGGUCUAGAGGAAUUAUUGGAUCGUUUUUCUUCGACAACGAAUAAGGUAAUGCAGUAAGGGAUAACACAAUUUCUUAAAUCUCAUUUGGAAGUUAUAGAGUUUGUGCCAAUUCCCGAUUUGGUGACCGAAAUUGGACUCGUAGAUCUUCGGAUUUAACGCCUUCUGGCUUUGGGGGGUAUCUGAAGUCCUAAUUUUAUACCAAUAAUUCAGCAACCAUUGCAGCAUUGAAAGCCGAAAUUAGACGUUAUAUUAUUGAAAUAUCACCACAUGUAUAUUUGUGUUAUAAAAAUAAAAGCAGACGUUAUUUCGAGUGGUGAAAAAAAAAAAAAAA
Long non-coding RNA from Diorhabda carinulata, 649 nucleotides. RefSeq lists it as uncharacterized. NCBI's taxonomy places the organism in Eukaryota, Metazoa, Arthropoda, Insecta, Coleoptera, Chrysomelidae. The record is from RefSeq and is a predicted model, not a curated record. The transcript is spliced from 3 exons.